RNAcentral lists this ribosomal RNA (497 nucleotides) under uncultured bacterium. RNAcentral's name for it is "partial 16S ribosomal RNA". It matches the Rfam family "Bacterial small subunit ribosomal RNA", at positions 28 to 507 of the family's 1533-position model. The record is from RNAcentral.
GAUGAACGCUGGCGGCGUGCCUAAUACAUGCAAGUCGAGCGAACGGACGAGAGGCUUGCUUCUCUGAUGUUAGCGGCGGACGGGUGAGUAACACGUGGAUAACCUACCUAUAAGACUGGGAUAACCUCGGGAAACCGGAGCUAAUACCGGAUGAUAUUUUGAACCGCAUGGUUCAAAAGUGAAAGACGGUCUUGCUGUCACUUAUAGAUGGAUCCGCGCUGCAUUAGCUAGUUGGUAAGGUAACGGCUUACCAAGGAAACGAUGCAUAGCCGACCUGAGAGGGUGAUCGGCCACACUGGAACUGAGACACGGUCCAGACUCCUACGGGAGGCAGCAGUAGGGAAUCUUCCGCAAUGGGCGAAAGCCUGACGGAGCAACGCCGCGUGAGUGAUGAAGGUCUUCGGAUCGUAAAACUCUGUUAUUAGGGAAGAACAUAUGUGUAAGUAACUGUGCACAUCUUGACGGUACCUAAUCAGAAAGCCACGGCUAACUACGUG